AUGAAGAGAUCGGAGGCGGCUCCCCCACUCAGCGUCUCCACACCCACUCCGUUCCUCCUGUUCCUCUCGCCAAACCUCCCCUUCCGUCCUCUCAUCCCACCAGCUUCUUUCCCUUCCUGUCAACCCUCACCCGUCCUUCCUAAACCCCCCUCAUCCCUCGACCCUCGACCCCUUCCCCCAUCCCUCGACCCCUACCCCAUCAUCCCUUCAUCCUUCCAUCCCUCGACCCUUUCCUUCCCAGCAUCUAACAUGUGUCAUUAUGCUUAAUAAAUCCCUGUUUUCAUUCCAUACAGCUUUUGGCGUGGUCUUUGUUAGUGAAACAAUCGCGGUGCGCUGUGAAGCAGUCAGGCCGAUUCAGACUUGUCUUGUUCAUCCAUGUUCAAUGACGAUCAGCAGAAUUGCUUUUUGACUUCAAUUUUAGAGGCAAUUCUGCCGUUCUGAAUGUUUUUUAUUGUCCCAAGUGCUUCGUGUCCCCAGAUCAAAGGAGAUGCGUAUGUCCAUGUGAAUUACUCUAUAUAUUCAGGGCGAAAAAACAUCCCAGUUUGCUCUCUAUUCUGUUCUUAGCUUUAAAGCUUCCGAGUGUGGCGAGAUCUCUCCUGCUCUGUUGUCAGUUUUAUUCCACUCAGCACACCCUGAGCUCAAAUAGUGCCUGUAAAACAGAGUAAGUCUUAAGAAGUUCGACUAAGUUGCUGUCAUAGUGUAAAAAUGAGUGGCUCGUUUACAGUUCAUGUACAGUGGAUUAAAAGGGGAGAGUGGAGCAUGGCCUGCGGGGUUUUCACUCACAGCAAUAAUCUUAUGAGUCUAAUGAACCGCUUUCCACAAGAGCUAACAAAGAAAGUCCCUGUGGGCAAAUGACUUGAAACAUGUUAUCCUAGAUGGGUUUUUUUUUUCUUUUUGUUGCUGUAUCAAAGUGUUGGGAGGACUUGGGGGAUGUAAACAUUGUUAAAAUCAUCUUUGGAUCAAAUGCUUUGAAUAUUUUUGCUUCUGGCUGCUACUAACAUGACAACGAUGAAAAAAGAAAAAAAACACUCUGAGUUGUAGCAUCAGAUAUUUAACAUGUAAAGGAAAGGUCCUCACACACUGACUGGACCUCUGAAACCACGCUACUUAGAUAUUUCUUUGAGUUACAGAUAAUAGUGAGACAGUGUGAGUGCAGCAGCUAGUGUGGCGUGUGGAGGGACUGUGGCUUGUCAGAUUUGUACAGAGCGAUUCACAGACACUGAGCAGCUGUGGAAGUAACGUCCGGUAUUCAUGGUCGUUUCAUGCCUUCGGCCAGGAAAAACCAUGAUGUUGGUCUUUGUGCCUUACAACAUGGUCAGCUUCCUUCACAAGCAAAUUUCUUUGUUCUUCGUUCUUAGGUGCAUUGAAACUGGCAUAGGUUUGGUUUUUUCAAUCUUGUUAUCGUAGGCAACUGACUAGGCUCCAGUUACCUACUAUACAGCACCUAGAUUUGCCAAUAUUGAUUCGCAGGUGGAUCAACAGUCGUAGCAAAACCCAGACAAGCACAAUUAUUUAAUCAAUGUUGAUGUUAACGCAUAUUUUUCUUUGUCAUGUGUUUAUUUCUUGAAUAAACACAGUACUAUUUUGUGUUUAUGUAGUACUUUGUGUAUAUGACGAUACUGUAGGCUAUAUUUUUCUCACAGGU
This is a long non-coding RNA of Sparus aurata (gilthead seabream), 1645 nucleotides long. Lineage: Eukaryota; Metazoa; Chordata; Actinopteri; Spariformes; Sparidae. The record is from Ensembl.